This 1159-nucleotide long non-coding RNA is filed under the name Equus caballus (horse). Its description in RNAcentral is "lncRNA (ENSECAG00000054980.1)". Lineage: Eukaryota; Metazoa; Chordata; Mammalia; Perissodactyla; Equidae. The record is from RNAcentral.
GGCUAUGCAGUCGCUUGCGCUUAGGGAAUGUGUGGCUGGGAGGUCUGGAGGCCUGUGAUGGGGCAUACACACUGUCGAGCGACCUGUCCAAAGGUCACAUUUAUUCGGCCGGUCAUCAGAUAUUUAUUGCGCACCUACGAAGCUAUCAGGACACACAUCCCUGCCGAAAACGAAUUUAGACGCGGUGUCCACGUUUGGCAAGGAAUUGUUGCAGAGGAAGGCUGUGGUCCUUAAUCCCUCAGAACAGAUACCUCACAAGGCUCUAAGCAGUUCGUGUAAACACAAAGGUUGUGCGCAAAUCACACUUGAAAUACAUCAGAGACACCCCCACCCCCUCCCCCAGAACUCCCAACUGUCUGCGAGUCAGAAAAGGACCCGAUCAAACUCAGGACGACAGGCGCUUCACCUCUCCAGGUAUUUUGUAGAGGAGGGCGAAAGCAGGCAAGGAGCACGACUCCGCCAAAGUUCUGUGUUUUGUCUGCGGUGGUGCCCAUUGGUUUGGCCUUUUACAAACCAAGUGGCCGGCCUCAGCCUCGCGGUCGGGACUGCCACAUUCGCAAAGUGCGAUCUCUCAAAGCCGGAGCAGGCUGCAGCCUCUUUCCAGCGGCAACUCUGCUGACGUUCUGACUCGGCGGGGAGGUGAAGAGCAGAACGCGAAAGCAGUUGCCCUGUCACUGAGGAGCGUGGCGGGGUGGGGGCUCGGGGCACUGGAGAAAGACUUGUCAGAGUUCAAGGUCGGUGUGGCGCGGGACGGCUCCUGCUAGCGCGGGGCCGCGGCGUCACGGCCGCCGCCGCCAGCCUUCGCGGGGACUUAGCUUGGUUUUCAUUGAUUCCCUUUGCAAGAGCGCAGCAGAAUCCCGACCAGCCGCACCAGCCCCGGCGAACCAGAGCAUGUUAAUCUAUUUAUAUGGAUUAUUACAGAGGAGCAGCGGGCGUUGAGUCACCAAAACAUUUGCUUCAAAAGACCAUUUCUAAGCACUUUCGGAGGAGGCAGGCUCCAGACGCGUAAACUGGGCUACGCACUAACGAGCGACGGCUUUUCCAAUACUGCAAACUCCAGCUAAGUCUCCGGUACCGCGGAGAAAGCAGUGGAAAGAACUGCUCGGGAGUGGGAGUAGAUCCUAGUCUAGACACACACACACACGCACACACACACGCA